UCCAAUGGCCCCCUAAUGGUGGACGGUUUUUAGUUGCUGAGUUUGUUGAUCCUGAAGAGGUGAAGUCGCGCCUUGAAUCCCCUCCGCAAGCUCCUGCACCUGCCAGCGCCAGUCCAGCUACCCCUACAGCUCCGCGAUUGCUCCAAUCGCAGGUUCCCAAGCUUCCUCAGCAGAAUUCUCUCCCACAGAAGCUACCGCCACCCCCUCCCCUCCCCCUUCCCCCACCGCCACCGCUUUCUGAGUUGCCCCGUG
Molecule: unclassified non-coding RNA, 252 nt
Filed under: Hevea brasiliensis (rubber tree)
Lineage: Eukaryota; Viridiplantae; Streptophyta; Magnoliopsida; Malpighiales; Euphorbiaceae
Source: RNAcentral